GGGUUGUGAGGUUAAGCGACUAAGCGUACACGGUGGAUGCCCUGGCAGUCAGAGGCGAUGAAGGACGUGCUAAUCUGCGAAAAGCGUCGGUAAGGUGAUAUGAACCGUUAUAACCGGCGAUGUCCGAAUGGGGAAACCCAGUGUGAUUCGUCACACUAUCGUUAACUGAAUACAUAGGUUAACGAGGCGAACCGGGGGAACUGAAACAUCUAAGUACCCCGAGGAAAAGAAAUCAACCGAGAUUCCCCCAGUAGCGGCGAGCGAACGGGGAGCAGCCCAGAGUCUGAAUCAGCUUGUGUGUUAGUGGAACGGUCUGGAAAGUCCGACGGUACAGGGUGAUAGUCCCGUACACCAAAAUGCACAGGUUGUGAACUCGAAGAGUAGGGCGGGACACGUGGUAUCCUGUCUGAAUAUGGGGGGACCAUCCUCCAAGGCUAAAUACUCCUGACUGACCGAUAGUGAACCAGUACCGUGAGGGAAAGGCGAAAAGAACCCCGGCGAGGGGAGUGAAAAAGAACCUGAAACCGUGUACGUACAAGCAGUGGGAGCACCUUCGGGUGUGACUGCGUACCUUUUGUAUAAUGGGUCAGCGACUUAUAUUCUGUAGCAAGGUUAACCGUAUAGGGGAGCCGCAGGGAAACCGAGUCUUAACUGGGCGUUAAGUUGCAGGGUAUAGACCCGAAACCCGGUGAUCUAGCCAUGGGCAGGUUGAAGGUUGGGUAACACUAACUGGAGGACCGAACCGACUAAUGUUGAAAAAUUAGCGGAUGACUUGUGGCUGGGGGUGAAAGGCCAAUCAAACCGGGAGAUAGCUGGUUCUCCCCGAAAGCUAUUUAGGUAGCGCCUCGUGAAUUCAUCUUCGGGGGUAGAGCACUGUUUCGGCUAGGGGGUCAUCCCGACUUACCAACCCGAUGCAAACUACGAAUACCGAAGAAUGUUAUCACGGGAGACACACGGCGGGUGCUAACGUCCGUCGUGAAGAGGGAAACAACCCAGACCGCCAGCUAAGGUCCCAAAGUCAUGGUUAAGUGGGAAACGAUGUGGGAAGGCACAGACAGCCAGGAUGUUGGCUUAGAAGCAGCCAUCAUUUAAAGAAAGCGUAAUAGCUCACUGGUCGAGUCGGCCUGCGCGGAAGAUGUAACGGGGCUAAACCAUGCACCGAAGCUGCGGCAGCGACACUAUGUGUUGUUGGGUAGGGGAGCGUUCUGUAAGCCUGCGAAGGUGUGCUGUGAGGCAUGCUGGAGGUAUCAGAAGUGCGAAUGCUGACAUAAGUAACGAUAAAGCGGGUGAAAAGCCCGCUCGCCGGAAGACCAAGGGUUCCUGUCCAACGUUAAUCGGGGCAGGGUGAGUCGACCCCUAAGGCGAGGCCGAAAGGCGUAGUCGAUGGGAAACAGGUUAAUAUUCCUGUACUUGGUGUUACUGCGAAGGGGGGACGGAGAAGGCUAUGUUAGCCGGGCGACGGUUGUCCCGGUUUAAGCAUGUAGGCUGGUUGUCCAGGCAAAUCCGGAUAAUCAAGGCUGAGGUGUGAUGACGAGGCACUACGGUGCUGAAGUAACAAAUGCCCUGCUUCCAGGAAAAGCCUCUAAGCAUCAGGUAACAUUAAAUCGUACCCCAAACCGACACAGGUGGUCAGGUAGAGAAUACCAAGGCGCUUGAGAGAACUCGGGUGAAGGAACUAGGCAAAAUGGUGCCGUAACUUCGGGAGAAGGCACGCUGGUGUGUAGGUGAAGUCCCUGCGGAUGGAGCUGAGACCAGUCGAAGAUACCAGCUGGCUGCAACUGUUUAUUAAAAACACAGCACUGUGCAAACACGAAAGUGGACGUAUACGGUGUGACGCCUGCCCGGUGCCGGAAGGUUAAUUGAUGGGGUUAUCCGUAAGGAGAAGCUCUUGAUCGAAGCCCCGGUAAACGGCGGCCGUAACUAUAACGGUCCUAAGGUAGCGAAAUUCCUUGUCGGGUAAGUUCCGACCUGCACGAAUGGCGUAAUGAUGGCCAGGCUGUCUCCACCCGAGACUCAGUGAAAUUGAACUCGCUGUGAAGAUGCAGUGUACCCGCGGCAAGACGGAAAGACCCCGUGAACCUUUACUAUAGCUUGACACUGAACAUUGAGCCUUGAUGUGUAGGAUAGGUGGGAGGCUUUGAAGCGUGGACGCCAGUCUGCGUGGAGCCAACCUUGAAAUACCACCCUUUAAUGUUUGAUGUUCUAACGUUGGCCCCUUACCGGGGUUGCGGACAGUGUCUGGUGGGUAGUUUGACUGGGGCGGUCUCCUCCCAAAGCGUAACGGAGGAGCACGAAGGUUAGCUAAUCCUGGUCGGACAUCAGGAGGUUAGUGCAAUGGCAUAAGCUAGCUUGACUGCGAGCGUGACGGCGCGAGCAGGUGCGAAAGCAGGUCAUAGUGAUCCGGUGGUUCUGAAUGGAAGGGCCAUCGCUCAACGGAUAAAAGGUACUCCGGGGAUAACAGGCUGAUACCGCCCAAGAGUUCAUAUCGACGGCGGUGUUUGGCACCUCGAUGUCGGCUCAUCACAUCCUGGGGCUGAAGUAGGUCCCAAGGGUAUGGCUGUUCGCCAUUUAAAGUGGUACGCGAGCUGGGUUUAGAACGUCGUGAGACAGUUCGGUCCCUAUCUGCCGUGGGCGCUGGAGAAUUGAGGGGGGCUGCUCCUAGUACGAGAGGACCGGAGUGGACGCAUCACUGGUGUUCGGGUUGUCAUGCCAAUGGCACUGCCCGGUAGCUAAAUGCGGAAGAGAUAAGUGCUGAAAGCAUCUAAGCACGAAACUUGCCCCGAGAUGAGUUCUCCCUGAGACUUUAAGUCUCCUGAAGGAACGUUGAAGACGACGACGUUGAUAGGCCGGGUGUGUAAGCGCAGCGAUGCGUUGAGCUAACCGGUACUAAUGAACCGUGAGGCUUAACCUUACAACGCCGAAG
This 2923-nucleotide ribosomal RNA is filed under the name Klebsiella pneumoniae. RNAcentral's name for it is "bacterial LSU rRNA". It matches the Rfam family "Bacterial large subunit ribosomal RNA". Lineage: Bacteria; Pseudomonadati; Pseudomonadota; Gammaproteobacteria; Enterobacterales; Enterobacteriaceae. The record is from RNAcentral.